GUGGGGCUGGGGGGUCUCCACCGGCUCCCCCCGGCCUGGGGAAUUUGGGGGCAGCUCUGGGGGUCUCCACCGGCUCCCCCCAGCCUGGGGAAUUUGGGGGCAGCUCUGGGGGUCUCCCCUGGCUCCCCCCACCCUGGGGAAUUUGGGGGCGGCUCUGGGGGUCUCCCCUGGCUCCCCCCAACCUGGGGAAUUUGGGGGCAGCUCUGGGGGUCUCUGACAGCUCCCCCUGACCUGGGGAAUUUGGGGGCGGCUCUGGGGGUCUCCCCUGGCUCCCCCCAACCUGGGGAAUUUGGGGGCGGCUCUGGGGGAUCUCUGACAGCUCCCCCCACCCUGGGGAAUUUGGGGGCAGCUCUGGGGGUCUCUGACAGCUCCCCCCACCCUGGGGAAUUUGGGGGCGGCUCUGGGGGUCUCCACCGGCUCCCCCCAGCCUGGGGAAUUUGGGGGCGGCUCUGGGGGGUCUCUGACAGCUCCCCCCACCCUGGGGAAUUUGGGGGCAGCUCUGGGGGUCUCCACCGGCUCCCCCCAGCCUGGGGAAUUUGGGGGCGGCUCUGGGGGUCUCCACCGGCUCCCCCCAACCUGGGGAAUUUGGGGGCGGCUCUGGGGGGUCUCUGACGGCCCCGCCGCCCCCAGACCCUUUUCUCAGCCUUCACCAUCACCUCUCUGCGGGAGAUGGCCCUGGGGGGCGACAUCCCCCUGCACAGCGUGUCCCGCCUGCUCUGGAACACACCCACAGGGACCCCCAAAGCGCGGGGGGCGCCCCGGCUGGACCCGCGGCGCGUGCGGCUGGAGCCGAUGGAGAUCCGCACCUUCCUGGCCUCGGUGCGGUACGGGGGUCCCCGGGGGGGCUCGGGGGGUCCCCAGGGGGGUCCCCAGGGGGUCUGGGGGCUUCCCGAGCCCACCCCCCACCCCCCAGUGAAAGUUCAUUAAAGCCCCCCGAGGUUUCCGCUGA
This is a long non-coding RNA of Parus major (Great Tit), 949 nucleotides long. RefSeq lists it as uncharacterized. NCBI's taxonomy places the organism in Eukaryota, Metazoa, Chordata, Aves, Passeriformes, Paridae. The record is from RefSeq and is a predicted model, not a curated record. The transcript has 2 exons.